Long non-coding RNA from Malania oleifera, 386 nucleotides. RefSeq lists it as uncharacterized. The record is from RefSeq and is a predicted model, not a curated record. NCBI's taxonomy places the organism in Eukaryota, Viridiplantae, Streptophyta, Magnoliopsida, Santalales, Ximeniaceae. The transcript has 3 exons.
AGUCACCGAAUCAACGAUCUGAGGCCACCACGAUGUUCCUGGCGGAGUUCUCUUCAAGUCUGCUGGAGCGGAUCAUUGGGGAAACGAAGUUGGAAUUCAUCCCAAAUUUAUGGGUAUUGAGUGGAGAACCCUGGGGGUGUAGGACUUGUUACAGUAAAGGGAUUUUAGCAAGAGUCAGGAGACCCUGAGUGACCGACGGGUCGUGGCCGCCGUGGAGUCAGUUAUUACCCUGUUAGGAGGGUAAGAUUUUGUAUUAGGAACAGGAGUAUUUUGUGUUUGAUCCUAGAGUUAUUUUGAUAUUUUGGGGAAUGUAUAUAAAUACAGUAUCAUGAUGGUUGUAGUAAACUCUGGUAUUAUGCUUGAUGGAUGGAUGAUUUAAAUUUUAU